Molecule: ribosomal RNA, 468 nt
Filed under: uncultured bacterium
Lineage: Bacteria
Description: partial 16S ribosomal RNA
Rfam family: Bacterial small subunit ribosomal RNA
Source: RNAcentral
GACGAACGCUGGCGGCGUGCUUAACACAUGCAAGUCGAACGGAAAGGCCCUGCUUUUGUGGGGUGCUCGAGUGGCGAACGGGUGAGUAACACGUGAGUAACCUGCCCUUGACUUUGGGAUAACUUCAGGAAACUGGGGCUAAUACCGGAUAGGAGCUCCUGCUGCAUGGUGGGGGUUGGAAAGUUUCGGCGGUUGGGGAUGGACUCGCGGCUUAUCAGCUUGUUGGUGGGGUAGUGGCUUACCAAGGCUUUGACGGGUAGCCGGCCUGAGAGGGUGACCGGCCACAUUGGGACUGAGAUACCGCCCAGACUCCUACGGGAGGCAGCAGUGGGGAAUAUUGCACAAUGGGCGGAAGCCUGAUGCAGCCACGCCGCGUGCGGGAUGACGGCCUGCGGGUUGUAAACCGCUUUCGCCUGUGACGAAGCGUGAGUGACGGUAAUGGGUAAAGAAGCACCGGCUAACUACGUG